GGGGGCGAUCGGUUUCGACUGGAUCACUGCAGGUAGGGGUGGCGUGUCGUGGUUGAUCAGCCGGCCACGUAAAAAGCUGAUCAAAAACUAAUUGCCGAAAAGCAAUUCCAAAUGGCUGCCUAAUCAUGGCAACCCUGGUUUAGGAAUCCCCGCCUAAGGAGUCCGAAGACCAGUCAAAAAAUUGGGCUGGCGCCGAGUCAAUGUCCGCUACGUUCGGCGCGAGACAAGUGGUGGGCUAGCCGCGAGUAGGCUUUGUCUGUUGAGCCUACCAACGCGAAACUCAAUCGGCAGAAUACACACGUAGAGGCCUUUACUGAGGUAUCACAGGACGCGGGUUCAAUUCCCGCCGCCUCCA
RNAcentral lists this transfer-messenger RNA (355 nucleotides) under Symmachiella macrocystis. RNAcentral describes it as "Planctomycetes bacterium CA54 transfer-messenger RNA, SsrA". It matches the Rfam family "transfer-messenger RNA". Rfam says of the family: Bacterial tmRNA, also known as 10Sa RNA or SsrA, is named for its dual tRNA and mRNA-like properties. Its role is to liberate the mRNA from a stalled ribosome. The record is from RNAcentral. Lineage: Bacteria; Pseudomonadati; Planctomycetota; Planctomycetia; Planctomycetales; Planctomycetaceae.